Molecule: ribosomal RNA, 321 nt
Filed under: uncultured Bacillota bacterium
Lineage: Bacteria; Bacillati; Bacillota
Description: bacterial SSU rRNA
Rfam family: Bacterial small subunit ribosomal RNA
Source: RNAcentral
GACGAACGCUGGCGGCGUGCUUAACACAUGCAAGUCGAGCGGAGAUUGCAGUAAUGUAAUCUUAGCGGCGGACGGGUGAGUAACGCGUGGGCAACCUGCCUCAUACAAGGGGAUAACACUGGGAAACUAGUGCUAAUACCGUAUAAACAAUUGGAUGGCAUCAUUUAAUUGUCAAAGGAGAAAUCCGGUAAGAGAUGGGCCCGCGUCCGAUUAGCUAGUUGGUAGUGUAAAGGACUACCAAGGCGACGAUCGGUAGCCGAACUGAGAGGUUGAUCGGCCACAUUGGGACUGAGACACGGCCCAGACUCCUACGGGUGGCAG